GACGAACGCUGGCGGCGUGCUUAACACAUGCAAGUCGAACGGAAAGGCCCUGCUUUUGUGGGGUGCUCGAGUGGCGAACGGGUGAGUAACACGUGAGUAACCUGCCCUUGACUUUGGGAUAACUUCAGGAAACUGGGGCUAAUACCGGAUAGGAGCUCCUGCUGCAUGGUGGGGGUUGGAAAGUUUCGGCGGUUGGGGAUGGACUCGCGGCUUAUCAGCUUGUUGGGGGGGUAGUGGCUUACCAAGGCUUUGACGGGUAGCCGGCCUGAGAGGGUGACCGGCCACAUUGGGACUGCGGUACGGCCCAGACUCCAACGGGAGGCAGCAGUGGGGAAUAUUGCACAAUGGGCGGAAGCCUGAUGCAGCAACGCCGCGUGCGGGAUGACGGCCUUCGGGUUGUAAACCGCUUUCGCCUGUAACGAAGCGUGAGUGACGGUAAUGAGUAAAGAAGCACCGGCUAACUACGUG
RNAcentral lists this ribosomal RNA (468 nucleotides) under uncultured bacterium. Its description in RNAcentral is "partial 16S ribosomal RNA". It matches the Rfam family "Bacterial small subunit ribosomal RNA", at positions 28 to 507 of the family's 1533-position model. The record is from RNAcentral.